Centrocercus urophasianus (Greater sage-grouse) is the source of this 733-nucleotide long non-coding RNA. RefSeq lists it as uncharacterized. NCBI's taxonomy places the organism in Eukaryota, Metazoa, Chordata, Aves, Galliformes, Phasianidae. The record is from RefSeq and is a predicted model, not a curated record. The transcript has 3 exons.
UCAGACCAAGGGAAUAAGAAGGCAAAAUCCUGAGAAUUAUGUUCUGACUGUGACUUGGCAGACUAGUGGUGAUGCUACAGAAGCACUGUGUGUAUGCAUUCUUAUAUUCCUUUGCCCACUUUGUAUCUGUAUUGACUCAUCUGCUUCCACUCCCCCAGGAAGCCAACAGCAGUUUCAUGACAUCCCUUGGAGAUUCCAGCAGUGUAGAAUAAAGAACACUCUCAAAAACUCAGUGAAGGUCACUUGUGAUUUUGAAGCAAGACAGUUGCAGAUCUCAUUGCUGCUGUGUGGAUCCGUCAGGCUAAGCAUAGCUUUUCACUGGCAUCAGCAAUCAUGAGAUUUGCCCCAGGAACCUGCUGCACACCCAGGUCAGCAAAGCCACUGCUUCUGCCAGCACUAAACAGAGACUGCAAAGUCCUGCUUGCUCUAAAAUUAAAGCUCUGAAUUCAGCAGAGCAUGUGGAUGUUACCUCGAAGUGAAAGUGUUGGAAUUUCUGGAACUUGAGGUCUUGCUUGAAGUAUCUACUGAUAGAUAACAUCUAUUUCAAAGCAAAAAUUCACUCAACCCUACCUGAAUGGACUUCUCGGUCAUGGGGAUCAUGACCUCUUAGGAGGUAAGGCCUACACCAAGUCCAAUUAGCUAAUCUUGGUUCAUGGUUAGCAAUGGGGACGGGGACUCGAUAUUUAUAUCCUGUUUCUCCAACUUCAUGGAAAGAAGUUCUAGUAAAAUAAAA